UACGGAGGGUGCAAACGUUGCUCGGAAUCAUUGGGCGUAAAGCGCACGUAGGCGGUCUUUUAAGUCGGAUGUGAAAGCCCCAGGCUCAACCUGGGAAGUGCAUCGGAAACUGAAAGGCUAGAGUACGGAAGAGGGUCUCGGAAUUCCCGGUGUAGAGGUGAAAUUCGUAGAUAUCGGGAGGAACACCAGUGGCGAAGGCGGAGACCUGGGCCGAUACUGACGCUGAGGUGCGAAAGCGUGGGGAGCAAACAGG
This 253-nucleotide ribosomal RNA is filed under the name uncultured bacterium. Its description in RNAcentral is "partial 16S ribosomal RNA". It matches the Rfam family "Bacterial small subunit ribosomal RNA", at positions 524 to 776 of the family's 1533-position model. The record is from RNAcentral.